AUUCCCCACAUGGUAUUCAUCACAAAAAUGCCUGGUAUUCAUCACAUGGUAUUCAUUACUGCUUAACCAAUUAUGUCAAUUAUGUCAUUUUCUUUGUCAAUUAUGUUGUCUCAUUGUUACAUUCAGUAUACACAUGUAUAUACAUCUCCUCCUCUUCAUGUAUCAUUCCUGCUUGACAACGGUACAAGAAUCUGUAUAGAAACGUCGAAC
Molecule: long non-coding RNA, 210 nt
Organism: Haliotis rubra (blacklip abalone)
Lineage: Eukaryota; Metazoa; Mollusca; Gastropoda; Lepetellida; Haliotidae
Exons: 3
Source: RefSeq, a predicted model, not a curated record